CGUAGAUGCCCCUCUGACAACGGCCCGAUGAACCCUGAACAAGUCCAUCCUGCCUGAUCAAGGGGCAUCUACUCGUUCACGCCACGCUCCACCACCGGUGGAUCCAG
Molecule: small RNA, 107 nt
Filed under: Kineosphaera limosa
Lineage: Bacteria; Bacillati; Actinomycetota; Actinomycetes; Micrococcales; Dermatophilaceae
Also listed under: 1 other name
Description: sRNA Ms_IGR-7
Rfam family: Actinobacteria sRNA Ms_IGR-7
Source: RNAcentral